GGAAGAGUUGUCUUUUCUUUGUAGGUACCAAGUCCCUGGAAUCGGUUUAACCGGAGAUAGGGAUUCCGGUACCGUAAAGCACCGCGGCUCUUGC
RNAcentral lists this small RNA (94 nucleotides) under Tetranychus urticae (two-spotted spider mite). RNAcentral describes it as "sRNA tetur06g06513". The record is from RNAcentral. Lineage: Eukaryota; Metazoa; Arthropoda; Arachnida; Trombidiformes; Tetranychidae.